AUGUUAAUAGUAUUUCCCUACUAAUUAGUAACGCUGCUCCGACGAACUCCCCGCUUAAUGGCAUAAAUUGCCAGCCAGAAAGGCUGGGGCUGAGAGGGGGGGGGGGGAGGCGGACUCCUCGUUCAUCCGUGUUCCUGGCGUGGCACUGAGUCGUCGCCAUGGCUACAGCAGAGAGGGACCCAUGCAGAGAGAGGGUCAGCCGUGGGUAUCCCUGCCCCAUGGAAAAUCAUUGGGGGGGGAGGGAGGGAGAAGGGAGCUGCACGGGGGAAGGAGAAAGCACAUCAGGGCAAGAAAACCUCUGCCCGACCCACACCCCACCCGGAAGACGGGGCCACACGCCCUGGCAUGGGUGGGUGCCGCCAGCCCUCCAAAACAGCCCCCUUUGAGGGACCGCGCGGCUCCUGGUGGAGAAACAGAGGCCAAACACAAUGGGGAAGUCUACGGUCACCUACCUGGAGGGCAGGGGGGCGGGGGCGGGCCGAAGAGGGAGCAGGAAGAGAAGAUGUUCUGGAGUUCUGGAAGGCAGAUGAGCACACACCACCAGAGUCUAACCUUAUUGCCCCCCCCCCGCCGAAGAACUCACCCUGAUUAUAUGGUUCUACCCUCACUCCUCUGUCACCUGCACCAUUUAGGAGCUAAUGCCCUGGAUUGCAGUCUGCUGCUAGAGCUGGAGCGACAUCGGCCCAAGGGCUCCCUCCAUUCAACCCCAGCAGGAAAGCCGGAGGCCCGGGGGGGUUUCGCCUCAGGCCACCUUUAUGAGACCCGGGUGCCUGGUUGGCCCCUGCACCGCCUCUGGCCGACCUGCUCAGAGAGGUGGCUGGGUGAGUCUGUUCCAGCCACUCAAAGGUCUGGAGGCACCUUCCAACUUGGCAAACUUGCUUCAGGGCGAGCUUUGGUGAAUUCGAAUCCUCUUCUUCAGGGACAGGGAGACGAGAAUGAUGACGUGGUUUGUAAUCUGCAGAAGCUCACCAAUGAACUAAAUCUAGGAGUCUCAAAGGUGUCACAAGACUCUUUGACUCUGCCUCCUAGAUCUUAUUCUUCCUUCUCCAAACGGUGUGUUCAGUGUCACCAUAUGUUCGAGGUGCCCAACCAUUUGCCCACCUGGGACCUCUCCUCUACCUCGCAAAAUCUGGAA
RNAcentral lists this long non-coding RNA (1135 nucleotides) under Pogona vitticeps (central bearded dragon). Its description in RNAcentral is "lncRNA (ENSPVIG00000000133.1)". Lineage: Eukaryota; Metazoa; Chordata; Lepidosauria; Squamata; Agamidae. The record is from RNAcentral.